GACAUCCAUGCUCAGUCAGUUGGGUUGUUUUGUGAAAGUAAAAGCGAGUCCGUUAACGCCCCGCCCACCGAAGCAGAUAAUGGGAGAACUUUGGUUUGUCGCUUACAUCACUGAUUACUCGUUGUGUCACACGCAGACAAAAUGACCUUCUUUUCACUGCCAAUCAGUUUGUUUUUUUUUUUUUCCUUCUAAUUUCAACCCAGGACGAUCUUGCUAUUAGCAUCUGUUCAAACUGUUCAACCAUUUCGGGUAUUCUCACCCAAGUUGACUCUGGAAACUCCCGCACGCACUCUGACCCUUAUUUAUUUUUUUACCGACACGAUGUUGCUCACCACUGGCCAUCAUCAUUAUCAUCGUUUAACGUCACUUUUCCAUGUUUGCAUGAGUUGGGACAGAAUUUACGAAAGCGCAUUUUUUACGGCCGGAUAUCUUUCCUAUCGCCAACCCUCACCUGUUUCCAAAUAAGUUGAUAUUUGCUCCAUGGCAAGACAUAUUUUUGCGGAAUACUGGAAAUGAACGACACUGCUUGUAUGACAGUGACGAUCGUUUACAUC
Octopus sinensis (East Asian common octopus) is the source of this 554-nucleotide long non-coding RNA. RefSeq lists it as uncharacterized. The transcript is spliced from 2 exons. The record is from RefSeq and is a predicted model, not a curated record. NCBI's taxonomy places the organism in Eukaryota, Metazoa, Mollusca, Cephalopoda, Octopoda, Octopodidae.